This 501-nucleotide ribosomal RNA is filed under the name uncultured bacterium. Its description in RNAcentral is "partial 16S ribosomal RNA". It matches the Rfam family "Bacterial small subunit ribosomal RNA", at positions 30 to 523 of the family's 1533-position model. The record is from RNAcentral.
AUUGAACGCUGGCGGCAGGCUUAACACAUGCAAGUCGAGCGGGGGAAGGUAGCUUGCUACCGGACCUAGCGGCGGACGGGUGAGUAAUACUUAGGAAUCUGCCUAUUAGUGGGGGACAACAUCUCGAAGGGGAUGCUAAUACCUCAUACGUCCUACGGGAGAAAGCAGGGGCUCUUCGGACCUUGCGCUAAUAGAUGAGCCUAAGUCGGAUUAGCUAGUUGGUGGGGUAAAGGCCUACCAAGGCGACGAUCUGUAGCGAGUCUGAGAGGAUGAACCGACACAAGGGGACUGAGACACGGCCCAGACUCCUACGGGAGGCAGCAGUGGGGAAUAUUGGACAAUGGGGGGAACCCUGAUCCAGCCAUGCCGCGUGUGUGAAGAAGGCCUUAUGGUUGUAAAGCACUUUAAGCGAGGAGGAGGCUACUCUAGUUAAUACCUAGGGAUAGUGGACGUUACUCGCAGAAUAAGCACCGGCUAACUCUGUGCCAGCCGCCGCCGUAA